Molecule: ribosomal RNA, 406 nt
Filed under: uncultured bacterium
Lineage: Bacteria
Description: partial 16S ribosomal RNA
Rfam family: Bacterial small subunit ribosomal RNA
Source: RNAcentral
AUUGAACGCUGGCGGCAGGCCUAACACAUGCAAGUCGAGCGAGCGGCGGAUGGGUGAGGAAUGUCUGGGAAACUGCCAGAGGGAGGGGACUCACUACAGGAAAAGGUAGAUAAGACAGCAUACCAGCAGAGGGGCCCAGGUGGGAUUAGCUAGUAGGUGGGGUAAUGGCUCACCUAGGCGACGAUCCCUAGCUGGUCUGAGAGGAUGACCAGCCACCCUGGGACUGAGACACGGGCCAGACUCCUACGGUAGGCAGCAGUGGGGAAUAUUGCACAAUGGGCGCAAGCCUGAUGCAGCCAUGCCGCGUGUAUGACGAAGGCCUUCGGGUUGUAAAGUACUUUCAGCAAGGAGGCGUUACUCGCAGAAGAAGCACCGGCUAACUCCGUGCCAGCAGCCGCGGUAAUUC